This 462-nucleotide ribosomal RNA is filed under the name Enterococcus faecalis. Its description in RNAcentral is "bacterial SSU rRNA". It matches the Rfam family "Bacterial small subunit ribosomal RNA", at positions 28 to 472 of the family's 1533-position model. Lineage: Bacteria; Bacillati; Bacillota; Bacilli; Lactobacillales; Enterococcaceae. The record is from RNAcentral.
GACGAACGCUGGCGGCGUGCCUAAUACAUGCAAGUCGAACGCUUCUUUCCUCCCGAGUGCUUGCACUCAAUUGGAAAGAGGAGUGGCGGACGGGUGAGUAACACGUGGGUAACCUACCCAUCAGAGGGGGAUAACACUUGGAAACAGGUGCUAAUACCGCAUAACAGUUUAUGCCGCAUGGCAUAAGAGUGAAAGGCGCUUUCGGGUGUCGCUGACGGAUGGACCCGCGGUGCAUUAGCUAGUUGGUGAGGUAACGGCUCACCAAGGCCACGAUGCAUAGCCGACCUGAGAGGGUGAUCGGCCACACUGGGACUGAGACACGGCCCAGACUCCUACGGGAGGCAGCAGUAGGGAAUCUUCGGCAAUGGACGAAAGUCUGACCGAGCAACGCCGCGUGAGUGAAGAAGGUUUUCGGAUCGUAAAACUCUGUUGUUAGAGAAGAACAAGGACGUUAGUAACUGA